Molecule: long non-coding RNA, 219 nt
Filed under: Rosa chinensis
Lineage: Eukaryota; Viridiplantae; Streptophyta; Magnoliopsida; Rosales; Rosaceae
Description: sRNA RchiOBHm_Chr2g0111561
Source: RNAcentral
UUGAGGGUUUGAUAAAGCAGUUGAGAAAAAUGACAGUUUCUUUAUGGAUGGAACUGUCAUGUGAAGCUUCUAUAUUAAUGUCAGAAUAGUCCCUUCUGAAACACGAGUUUUUUCUCAAAAUUAGUCCCAUUACUAAGAGAAUAUCAAGGUGGAUUCAGGAGAAGGCUGUCAUGGACAAUGCAAGUGCAUCGAAAAUCAGUUUCCAUUGAGGAGGAUUAG